GAUGAACGCUAGCGGCAGGCUUAAUACAUGCAAGUUGAGGGGCAGCAUGAUAUACGCGAGUAUAUUGAUGGCGACCGGCGGACGGGUGAGUAAUAGGUAGGAGACCUACCUCAUACAGGGGGAUAGCAUAGAGAAAUCUGUGGUAAUACCCCAUGAGGUUAUAUGAAUAGAGGCAUAUAAUCAAAGCAUAAGCGAUUAUGCGGUAUGAGAGGGGCCUACUGACCAUUAGCUAGUUGGUGAGGUAAGGGCUCACCAAGGCGAAGAUGGUUAGGGGUUUUGAGAGAGAGACCCCCCACAUUGGAACUGAGAGACGGUCCAGACUCCUACGGGAGGCAGCAGUAGGGAAUAUUGGGCAAUGGGCGAAAGCCUGACCCAGCCAUGCCGCGUGAAGGAAGACGGCCUUAUGGGUUGUAAACUUCUUUACUACGCGAAUAGAGGUUAGUACGAGAUACUAAUAGGAACCCCCGUAGUGUAGUAAAAGCAACCGGCUAACUCCGUGCC
RNAcentral lists this ribosomal RNA (501 nucleotides) under uncultured bacterium. RNAcentral's name for it is "bacterial SSU rRNA". It matches the Rfam family "Bacterial small subunit ribosomal RNA", at positions 28 to 509 of the family's 1533-position model. The record is from RNAcentral.